Long non-coding RNA from Orcinus orca (killer whale), 2249 nucleotides. RefSeq lists it as uncharacterized. The transcript is spliced from 3 exons. Lineage: Eukaryota; Metazoa; Chordata; Mammalia; Artiodactyla; Delphinidae. The record is from RefSeq and is a predicted model, not a curated record.
AAUCUCUUCAAAUAUUUUCUUGAGUCCUUUCUCUCUCUCUCUUCUUUCUCUCUCUCUUCUCCUUCUCAGACCCUUAUAAUGCGAAUGUUGUUGCAUUUAAUGUUGUCCCAGAGGUCUCUUAGGCUGUCUUCAUUUCUUUUCAUUCUUUUUUCUUUAUUCUGUUCUGCAGCUAUGCAUUUCACCAUUCUGUCUUCCAGGUCACUUAUCUGUUCUUCUGCCUCAGUUAUUCUGCUAUUGAUUCCUUCUAGUGUAUUUUUCAUUUCAGUUGUUGUAUUGUUCAUCUCUGUUUGUUUGUUCUUUAAUUCUUCUAGGUCUUUGUUAAACAUUUCUUGCAUCUUCUUGAUCUUUGCCUCCAAUCUUUUUCUGAAGUCCUGGAUCAUCUUCACUAUCAUUAUUCUGAAUUUAUUUUUCUGGAAGGUUGCCUAUCUCCACUUCAUUUUAUUGUUUUUCUGGGGUUUUAUCUUGUUCCUUCACCUGGUACAUAGCCCUCUGCCUUUUCAUUUUGUCUAUCUUUCUGUGAAUGUGUUUUUUUGUUCCACAGGCUGCAGGAUUGUAGUUCUUCUUGCUUCUGCUGUCUGCCCUCUGGUGGAUGAGGCUAAGAGGCUUCAGCAAGUUUCCUGAUCAGAGGGACUGGUUGUGGGUAGAGCUGGCUGUUGCUCUGGUGAGCAGAGCUCAGUAAAACUUUAAUCUGCUUGUGUGCUGAUGGGUAGGGCUGGGUUCCCUCCCUGUUGGUUGUUUGGCCUGAGGAAUCCCAGCACUGGAACCUACCCGGUCUCUUUGGUGGGGCUAAUGGCAGACUCUUGGAGGGCUCACACCAAGGAGUACUUCCCAGAACUUCUGCUGCUAGUUUCCUUGUCCUCACGGUGAGACAGAGCCACCUCCCACCUCUGCAGGAGACCUUCCAACCCUAGCAGUAUUUUUUCCCAACAGCUUCCAAGGAAACUGAGGACUAUGUUGCCAGUUGCAGCAGGAUGGAGAAUCUGUGGAGGCUUUUUACACCCUCUAUCUUGUAAAAGUGGAGCCCAAGAGAAGAGAGGUCAAGGGAUUUACACUACUCAGCUACUUCAGUUUUUGUUCAGUGGUAACUCUUCAGAGACAUAUCUAGCAUCUCAAAUCAUCUCUAAGUCUGGACUUAGAUGGCAUAAAGAAGAGCCCUCUGGGGGAGGCUGAUGACUUCAUACUUAAAAUCUAUUCUCCUGGCAACGUUGGAAACUCAGAUAUGUUCCAGGCAAAAUUUCACCCCUAAGAAGUCAUAAUUCCAAUCUUAAAUUCUCAGAAUUUCUAAAGCAGAAUAAUUUUAUACAAAUCUCCUCUCUGCAGAAUCUCUAUUUUUGGUUUCUUCACCAUACUGACUUCUUAAUCAAAGCCUUUCUCCUGUCAUACAAAUUUGCCUAGGAAGUGCUCAGUUCUAAAGGAAACCUUUUCAGUAUAUAUUGGUCAGGAUGAGCUAGUCUAUGCUACAGCAACAAAUUACCCCUCAAUCUCAUUUUAUAACACACUGAAAGUUUGUUUAUAGCUUACAUCAGUGUGGGUUGGUCAACUCUCUUCUAAAAGGUAGUUCAGGGACUCUCAUUAGGUACUCCAUUAGGAAGAUAUGAACCCUGUAGUUGCCAUGAGGAGAGAGUUAGAAUUAAUUGAAUAAAAGGUCAGAUCUACAAGUGAUAUAAAUCAUUUCUGCCUAUAUUCCAUAGCCGCAGCUUAACUGCAGGGGAGACUAAAAAAUAUAGCUCUCAAGUGAGUCCAGAAAGAGAAAAUUAUGUGGUAUUGUCACUGCUACACACUAUAAUCCUUAGUCCCAAGAAGCAAACAUGGAAUUUCAUAACCACAAACUCUAUGAGACAUAUAAUUGAAUUUUUUCUAACUCUGAAAAGGUUUGGAAAUUGAUUUCCCAAUGAUUUUCCUGUAGCCUAGCAAGAUAGGAAAAGCAAUGUAUUGAUUCAUACAUAUAUACCUACCUACCCUUAUUCAUCCACCCAUAUAUUCAUUCAACAAUAUUUCUUUUAUACAAGCAAAAAACAUAUCUGAUUUUUUCCAUGUAAUAGUGCAUCUUAAAGAUUGUUCCAUAUCUAUAUUUAUAUAGAUAGAUACAUACAUAGUACAGAACUAUCUCAAUCAUUUUAAUAGUUAUAGCUAUUCACUAUACUUCCCUAUUAAAAGACAGGUUGUUUCCAGAGAACACACUUAAUACAUCUUUGAAUAUAUAUGCAAUUAUGUAUAGAUAAUUCAGAUUCCUAGAGGCAAAGAGAACU